RNAcentral lists this long non-coding RNA (606 nucleotides) under Equus caballus (horse). Its description in RNAcentral is "lncRNA (ENSECAG00000053055.1)". Lineage: Eukaryota; Metazoa; Chordata; Mammalia; Perissodactyla; Equidae. The record is from RNAcentral.
CUCUAGCAGCAAAACAAAGACUGCAGCGUCUUCUCGAGGCUCUGAAUUCUGGUGACUGUAUCCUAAAAGGAAUGGCAGAUGGGUUCAGAGAUGCGUCCAGUUCCAGGAAGAGGUGGACAUCGCAAUUAGCAUCCAUGAAGCGGCAUAGUCAACUGUCAUUAAAGGAAAAUCAGAUUGAGGGCUGUACGGCAAACCCAGCCAAAGCUACACCUUCCACAGAUGAGGGAACCAGGAGACAAGGAACUUGCCACAGGUCACACAGCAACUGAUUCAUAGAAGAGCCAGACAAGAGCGGAGUCAUUUUGGAAGAGAAUAUCCCCUGCACAGCAAGCUUUACAAAAUGAUCAUCCCUUGUGGAAUGCAAACAAAAUGGCCACCAUUUAUUAAUGUUCACAAGAGUUAUUAUUAUAAAUCCAGAUAUUUUCAUACUCUGUUGAAGCUAUUUAUGUCACGUGAACAGGAUAUCUGCCCAGAGUUACUAAGAAGCAGCCUUAAGUACAACAUAAGCCUCUAGGUCCUGUCAAAAAUAACUGGGAGCACUUUGUCUUCUGGGCUGGAAGGGUAGGCAAGAUUUACAGUGAAUGCUGCCACAAUAACCAAUGACCG